GAUCAAUAUAGUUAACUUAGACAUAAAAAAAAAUCCGGAUGUUUCGGGACGACACCCCCCACCUCUUGAGGGUAUGAAGGCUCUAGAAAUGCCCUCCAACGGACGUUACGACGAAGUCUUGGUCUUCUUGGUCCAAAAUGAUGCUCAAUCGGCCUUGUUUUGCCGAUAACUCUUGACCCACUUGACGAAUGUGAAAUGCGACUUCGCCCCCGCGUUUUGGCACCUACCAAUUAAGUUAGAGGAGGGUCAAAUGAGAUCAAUCCUCUACUUUUCCGAAAAACCCUAUUUUGGUGCCCUAGG
Molecule: long non-coding RNA, 300 nt
Filed under: Ananas comosus (pineapple)
Lineage: Eukaryota; Viridiplantae; Streptophyta; Magnoliopsida; Poales; Bromeliaceae
Description: long non-coding RNA (ACOM_LNC035225)
Source: RNAcentral